AAUCUUAUAUUCAAAUAUGAUAUUAAAUUGCAAAUUUAAAGGUAUUAAAUUAUUUAAUUAAGGUUU
Molecule: transfer RNA, 66 nt
Filed under: Brevicoryne brassicae (cabbage aphid)
Lineage: Eukaryota; Metazoa; Arthropoda; Insecta; Hemiptera; Aphididae
Also listed under: 2 other names
Description: tRNA-Cys
Source: RNAcentral